UUAAAGGGAGCGUAGGCCGGAAAUUAAGCGUGUUGUGAAAUGUAGAUGCUCAACAUCUGCACUGCAGCGCGAACUGGUUUCCUUGAGUACGCACAAAGUGGGCGGAAUUCGUGGUGUAGCGGUGAAAUGCUUAGAUAUCACGAAGAACUCCGAUUGCGAAGGCAGCUCACUGGAGCGCAACUGACGCUGAAGCUCGAAAGUGCGGGUAUCGAACAGGAUUAGAUACCCUGGUAGUCCGCACGGUAAACGAUGGAUGCCCGCUGUUGGUCUGAAUAGGUCAGCGGCCAAGCGAAAGCAUUAAGCAUCCCACCUGGGGAGUACGCCGGCAACGGUGAAACUCAAAGGAAUUGACGGGGGCCCGCACAAGCGGAGGAACAUGUGGUUUAAUUCGAUGAUACGCGAGGAACCUUACCCGGGCUUGAAUUGCAGAGGAAGGAUUUGGAGACAAUGACGCCCUUCGGGGUCUCUGUGAAGGUGCUGCAUGGUUGUCGUCAGCUCGUGCCGUGAGGUGUCGGCUUAAGUGCCAUAACGAGCGCAACCCCUCUCCGUAGUUGCCAUCAGGUUAAGCUGGGCACUCUGCGGACACUGCCACCGCAAGGUGUGAGGAAGGUGGGGAUGACGUCAAAUCAGCACGGCCCUUACGUCCGGGGCUACACACGUGUUACAAUGGGUGGUACAGAGAGCGGGCCGUCCGCAAGGUCGGUCAAAUCCUAAAAGCCAUCCCCAGUUCGGAUUGGGGUCUGCAACCCGACCCCAUGAAGCUGGAUUCGCU
This 772-nucleotide ribosomal RNA is filed under the name uncultured Bacteroidota bacterium. RNAcentral's name for it is "bacterial SSU rRNA". It matches the Rfam family "Bacterial small subunit ribosomal RNA", at positions 560 to 1336 of the family's 1533-position model. Lineage: Bacteria; Pseudomonadati; Bacteroidota. The record is from RNAcentral.